Long non-coding RNA from Brassica napus (rape), 7339 nucleotides. RefSeq lists it as uncharacterized. The transcript has 6 exons. NCBI's taxonomy places the organism in Eukaryota, Viridiplantae, Streptophyta, Magnoliopsida, Brassicales, Brassicaceae. The record is from RefSeq and is a predicted model, not a curated record.
GGGAAUUGGAUAUAUUUCAAGGAGUUUAUGUGGUUGGAAAAACAUUUUAGUACUUCAGAUGGUUUUAGAUACAUUACUCGAUAGAUGUUGUAUCUAGAAAUCUUUCUCCAUGUUUAUUCGAAAUGGAGGACUGCAAUAAGUAGAAUUGUUUUUUUUUCUAUUCUGCAGCUCUGUUGAGUUGGGAACGAGAAUGAGUUUUGUGUGUGAGGGUAUGGCGAUUAUAGAAAGAUUCUUUAAGUGAGUAGGUUAUCGUACAUACUGCCAUACAUCUUACUGCUCAAAGUACGUGCGAAUAAUAUGAUUAAACAGAGGAAAAACAGAGUACUCUAAUGGAGCUGAUUUAUAUGUAAGUAAUAUGAUGGAGCUUGAGUCGUCUAUCUCCCAUGUUUACGGUGUUGUGCAGUGUAGUAAAGACAUGUUCGUGCCUAAGCACAAGCCAAUCAAACAUAUGCUUAGGGCUUUGAAAAGUUAUAUUACUAUUAGAGGCCAACUUUGAACAGAAAUAACUAAAUAGCUAUGUUGGUAAUGUAUUUAUUAGAAUUAGAUAAGGUGUACAGUUCAGUUCCUCCCCAUAACAUUUUAAAUUUUCAUGGUUUUGGGGGCCAAAUAAAUAACUGGGCUCCGGGGCCUAAAUAUUUCAGGCACGGCCCUGAGUAAAGAUGUAUCUCUUGAAAACUGCACUCAUUGUCUGCAACAAAACGUGAUUGAGUAUAGGUCAAGUUGCGGUGGGACACAAGGAGGAACUAUUUCUAGGCCUAGCUGUUUCAUUCGGUGGGAGGUUUAUCCGCUCUUGGACCUUUUCGAUGAUAUUACUCCUGAGAAAGGUCAGAACGUGUUUGUAAUCUUUGUUGUUUGCUAGAUCAAAUGAUUAAAUCCAUAUCUUACCUUGUUUGUGGUUUUCUGCUCUGUUCUUGUUUUGGUGCCAAUAUUUUUCCUUCAUUGGUGGUUUUGGUUGUGCAGAUGGUAAAAACAUUUCUACAGAAACUACUGUGGCCAUUGUAUUGCUUGCUCUAGGAUUUACCUUUUGGAAGAGGAGAGAAGCAUGCAAAGCAUUUACGACUGAUUGUGAAUUCCCUUAAUUUCAAAAGAUAAUUUCAAAAUCAUUUUUUUUUUGUCUCUAUGUACUUCUAACACGGUUACUAUUUCUGUGUUACAAGAAGAUUUUGGAAGACAUAAUGGUAAAUGACUACUGGAUGCCACAAAAUUUUGUUUUAUCAUAACGCCAUGUAUACAUUUUUUCUGCAGCUGUGGAUGAUAUUACAACUUCAGGCUCACUUCAAUUUGAGUUUAAAGCAAUUGAAGCUGCCACAAGUAAUUUUCAUAAUAUAAUAAGCUUGGUUAUGGUGGAUUUGGUGAAGUUUACAAGAUAUAGUAUUUGUUCCACGUACUAUUUAUGUUACAUAGUUUGUACAAAACAGAUUCCGGUAGUUAAAUCAAGAAGAUCAUACGAAUUGACAGGGAACGUUUCCAAGUGCAACACAAGUUGCUCUGAAGAGGCUGACUAAAACGUCAGGACAAGAUGAAGAAGAGUUCAUGAACGAGGUGUUUCUUGUAGCUAAGCUUCAACAUAAGAUCUUGUUAGGCUUCUUGGGUUUUCUAUCAAAGGAGAAGAAAAGAUACUAGUCUACGAGUUCUUGCCUAACAAAAGUCUCGAUCACUUCCAUUUUGUCUUCCAGACCCGAAGAAGAAUAGUCAACUGGAUUGGUCAAAACGAUACAACAUUAUGGAGGGAAUUACUUGUAGGAUUUUAUAUCUUCAUCAAGAUUCACGGCUCACAAUUAUACAUUGUGACCUCGAAGCAUGUAAUAUUCUCUUGGAUGAAGAUUUGAACCCGAAGAUUCCAGAUUUUGGUGUGACUAGAAAAAUCGGUGUGGACCAAACUGAAGCUACCACAGGAAGAGUGGUUGGGACAUUGGCUUCCACGUUGGAUUACACCUCACUAAUUCGGAUGCUGUCAAGCUGACACGUGUCCACUUUAACAAAACACAACGUUUUAUUAAGGCGCUUUUAAACUCUGCUUUCCAUAGACAGCACCAGCCGCAAAAAUUUUUAAGGGUUUAGUGUUUUUCCACGACGAAUCGAAGAGUCAUUUUCUUCUUUAAUCUCUUGAGUAUCUAUAUUCCUCUAAAAUGGCUAAUUCAUCAAUCCUUUUCCUUUGAUUAAUUUUGUCGAAAUUAGACAUUCUGUAAACAACGUCUCCUUUUGGAGACUCCGCCAUACAAACUCACCGAUAGAAAAUUCUGGAAACGUAACGUUUCCAAUCGUCACCUUCGAUGGGCUCAUUAACAAGAUCUUUACUUCCCUUCUCAGAAUUUUUGACUAUAAAAGGUAUGUCUGGAUUUCAUCAGUAUUAUCCUCUCAAUUACUAGCUUUUCAAACAUCCCAGUGAUAACAAUGAUUUCGAUUUUGGUUUCUGGGAAAUGAUUUCAAUUUUGGUUUUGUUUGUUAACUUAGCUUACAUUUGUUCAUGUAUAGAUUAUCAUUUUUUAUUCCAGAGUUUUUGUGUAUCGAUGAAGAUUUAGAUUUGUUUGUUGAUCUCUUUGAUUGUUCCUUUUGAUUUCAUCAGUUUCGUCACCGGCUUGAUCGGAAAUCAAGUAAGCAAAUCACGAACAGGGAGAGAUGGGUUUGGGUUUGAUCUUGGACUCCACGAAGGAUGAUGUACCAGAUCCAUAUACUCGCGGAUAUGGUAGUUACUUAGCCUCGGACCCGAUAUGCUUCUUUUUUGAAAAAAAGCUCUUACAAGGCUUAGACCAUUGUGGAAUAAAGAUCUGAUUUUUUUUUUUAAUGUCCUCAACUUCUCCAUCUUUAAUGCUGUAGCCUGUAGCCUGUAUUUCCUGUACUCUCCAGUCUCUUUGUUAUGUAGCUAAGUGCUGGUCUUCUCAUCAUCAGAUGUUGUGGUCACUUCUUGGAAGUAAAGGGAGUGCUGUACAGUUAUGGACAUGGCUUCUCAAGGUUUUGCAGCGAAACUUACCAAGUCCCAAGCCAAACAAAUAACAGAUUUACCAGAAGUUGUUCAUGUCACACUUGAUAGUUUAUAUGAACCUUUCUGCUGCCAAUCCGAAAAAUCUUAAUAUGGUGAAGAAGUUAUCAUUGGCAAUGUUAACACAGGAGUGUGGCCCAAAUCUGAAGUCUUUAACGACAAUGGGAUCGGAGGGCUGCCAAAACGCUGGGAAGGAGGUUGUGAAUCACGAGAGGAUUUCAACUCCUGCAACAAAAAGCUCAUAAGAGCCAAAUAUUUAACCAACCCAUUCCUGGAACACAGUGUUUGCACUUUGCAUAUUUUCUUAAGUUUUUUCGAGAGGUAUCUUUUCCAAUUACCAUCUCCAUCUAAACGUUUUCUUUGAUUUUCAAAGGGCACUGACCAUUUAUAGUUAUUUUGGUCCUCAUGAUUUUUAGAAAUUACCAAUUAGGUUUACCCAUUAUGAGAUGCCUUUACAUUUUUGUAAAAGAUUUUGCUGGAAAUGAAUCUUAAAGGAAAGACACGAGACCAUGUUAACCUUUAAAGGAUUCUUUUGUUUUUUAAGGUCAGCCCAUGUUAUAUUUACUUCAGUUUUGUGCUUAAAAAUCUGCAAAGGGAGAAAAAAGUUUGUUGAUGAUCGUUUGCGUCUCUGUCAGUCCCUAGGUCAAAGCAAAUCUUAACUCUCCCAUUUUUUAUUUGAUUUGUUGUUUCAUGGAUGCUUAUUUCAAAUUUAAAGUGAAUUCCAAGUGAAACUAUGUACCGCCAAAAAGUAUAGGUAACCUAAGCAUUAUAUUUGUUUUCGUCCCUGUUCUAAGGUCUAUGUUUCAUUGAUUUUGAAGCAUAUUGGAUCACUUAUGUUGCUUUGUAAAACUAUGUUCAGUCCAAUGGAAUAAGGCGUAUCUCUUGAAAAAAUAUUAGAUCAAAGUAAUUAUAUUUCCGUUGGUCUGCUAGAAAUUUUGUGUAACAAAACAAAUCCACAUUUAAAUUUUCGUAACUAUACAAUUUCUAUGUGCAUCCCCUUCCGAAAUGUAAAACAUAAUAUUCUAUUAUUUCAAAGUCUUUCUAAAGAAAAAAAGAAUAAUAUAAGGUUAUACAAUACGUCUAUGUAAAAAAGUAAUAUAUUUUCAUGUAUAUAUAUAUAUAUAUAUAUUCAAAUUUUAGUUAUGUUUGAUAAUCGUAAAAUCAUUGAUGUGUGAGUGAAAUAAAAUUAAUAUAUUUAUAAAUCUACUCUUCAAAAAUUUCAUAGAAAAUAUCCUAAAUUUAUAAAACUCGCUUAAGAAACAUAUUAGUAGUAAAACCAUGUAUUUAAACAAAGUAAACAAACUUAUGAUCUUUAGAAAAUAACAAAAUAAAAUUAAAAUACAUUUAUAAUUACAGAUGCUCUUUCAUAUAUAAAAUGUUUUUAUAUUAUUUUUAAUGUAUUGUCCCGCCCGUUAGGGCGGGUUUAUGCUAGUUGUUGAUAAAGAAAAGUUGUACAUAUUUUACAGCGGAUACAUGCCACCAGAGUAUGUGACAAGUGGACAGUUCUCGACAAAAUCUGAUGUGUAUAGCUUUGGAAUAUUGGUUUUGUAGAUUAUUGGUGGAGAAAAGAAUAGUAGCUUCAACGAGAUAGACGGCUCAGUAAGCAACUUGGUCACAUAUGUUAGUAAAGGUCACAUAUAUUCGUAAAAUUCCGAAUGCCAUAUCAAACUUUCCUACUUGUUUUGGCAAUGAUAGUGGCGAUUAACAUUAUUUGAAUUUAUCCCACUGAUAAAGCUUCUUCAAUUUAUCCGCAAAUACCAUAUACUUUUGUAUAGCACUGGAACUCUUCUACUCGUAUCCUGAUAAUAAGGUUUUCCACAAAAUUUGAAUUUAUCGUGGUUCUCAUCCACUCUCCAAUGUAUCAUGUAGUUGUCGAUACAUACAUCUAUCACCAGAUACAGUAAAUUAAGACCCGCUACAAGAUUAUCCUCUGGUAGAACACCUCUAACAAAAUCAGCAAUCACAUCCAUGCAUUCUUCAGCCAAAAGUAUAAUAUGUUUUAAUACCCAUCAAUCUAGUUGCAUAUGAUAAAGGUGAAUGACCAUCUCUACAUCUUUUGUACAAAGGUUAUUUUCCUGUUUCCAACAUAUCAAAAAAUCUCCUAGUUUCUGCAUUUGGUUCUUCCUUUCUAUAAUUAUCAUUUACCAUCUUUUCAAUACCUACACCAUAAUCUACAUUCGUUCAAGGUUCUUCUAACCUAUCCACAGUCUGAGGUUCGCUAGUACUACCAUAUUCAUAACCAGUAGUUUUUCCAAGAAGAUGCCAAAACUUAUAAUUUGGUGUAAACCCUUUCAAAUAUAAAUGAGUCCAAACAUCCCAUUCUUUUAAACUCCUAUUAUUUUUCCAGGAAAAGCAAGGACAUCUUAACAUACUGGUAUUUGUUCCCGGUUGUCGUUGAACUAACGUCAUUAAUUCGCUAAUGUCUUUUGCAUAUUCUUCCGUAAGUAAGUUGGCGCUUGGAUCCAUAUGAGGUUUAUCAAUCUACGAACAAAAAUAAUUUGGAGAAGACAUGAUUUUUUCGGAUUUGUAGAAUGAAGAGAAUGAAUAAAGAAUGAAGAGUGAAUGAGGAGAAUGAGAGGAGCUCACGUAUUUACAAAAGAAAGCUGCCGACACUUCCGACGGAUUUCCAACGGCUACAUUAAAUGUUGUCAAAAUUCCGUCGGAAAAUUUGAAAUAUCAAACAGUUAUAAAUGGUCAACAAGUGUUGUCGGAAUUUUGUCGGAAGUUUUCAGAACAUUCGUCAGAAAACCCAAUAUUUCAAAAUAUUUGCAAGGGUCAAAAAUGUUCGUCGGAAAUUCGUCGAAAUGUAGUUUCGACGAAUUUCUGUAGGAAUAUUCGUACGAAUUUCCGACGACUCUCAAAAAAGUCAAAUCAUCAGAUUAUUGUAGGAAACAACUUUGAAUAUUCCGACGAAAAUACAUUCUGUCGGAAUUUUUCUAGUUUUCUUGUAGUGUUAAGUAGUAAAAUACUUAAGUACUUGAGUUUCAAGUAGUAGUUUUAAAAUAGUAGAUGAGUUGUGUUACAAAUAAAAAGUAGUUAAGUAUUAAUCUUUGCACUUAGUUCCUUCCAUUUAUGAUGGUAUCAUACAGAUGAACUUGUGAAACAUCGGGAGAGUCUGGUCAAGUUACAUGACAGUAAACGUAAAGGGAAUUGAGCUUUUUUACAAAAGCAUAAAAAUCCUCGGACACUUUCUAUUGCUGAGUUCAUAUGCAUGGAAUAUGGAGCUAAACCUUCCAAUUGUCCACAAACCAUAAUCUUCAGUAGAAAUAUCUGAGCUGUACUAAUAAUAGCUCAUUGUACAGCCUUCCUCACAAGCAUGUAAGUUAUGCUUAGAAUGGUCAAACAAUGUGUUGUUUGAAGGAAACCAAACUUUACUUACUGACUGGGACUGUGUACAGAACGUAAAUGUAAAAUGGAAACAGCUUCGCUUAGACGAAUCUUUGUUCAUUGUUGGUGUGUAAUACUUUAAUAAUCUUGAAUACAUUGAUAUAUUCUUUUUCUUUAACGAGGAGCUACACUAGUAAUGGACGCAUCAUCAACGGAACAGUGAGCAGAGAUAUGCAUGGAUGGACCUGAAUCACCUGAUCUCCCUACUUCUUCAUGCCUGCGUCCGAAGAAAAUUCCAGGUGGUUGAGGCACGGCGAGAUCGAUCAAACUCGUAGUGAGCAUCUGGACAUUUCUGACAAAGUUGGACGAUCUUCAGCUUCUUCUUGAACACACAGCAAAGCGAUAUGAAUGCACCUGGUAAUUUCGUUUGUUUCAUAGUUAUCCUGAAAUAACGGAUCCAUGAGUUCUAACGGCGAUCCAUUGUCCCACAGUCUCCAAGUCUGUUGAACAUAUGAAUAAUUAAAUCUUUGGUCAUCAUCGAAGAAAGCAGAAAAUAAUGGAAGUUUAAAGGCUCUAUACUCACAUAUGUAAUCAAAUUGCCAGCACUACCAUCCAUUUGAUAGAGGCUACUGUUCUUCUUGCCGCUAAUAAUAGACCCCAAAACUAUACACAUCUGAUUUCAUGGAAAAUUGGCCAUACAUUGCAUACUCUGGAGACAUGUAACCACUGCUACAAAACUUAAACGCUGAGCUAACAAUAAGUAUAUUACAUUCGACAAAGAAAAUAUGCAAUUCUCUCAAAUAGCUAAUUUUCAAGUUUUUGUGACCAAAAGAGAUUCCAAAGAUGAAAAUGGCUAAAAAAAGUUUCAUUAAAGAAAACAGAGUUUUUUUUAUCCCUUACUUUAUAGAUAUAUAAAUAUAAAUUAAAAAUAUAUAGUUUUGAAUUAUAUGUUUUCAAAUUUGAUUUUUUUAAUAUUCAAUUUUUCUUUUUGAAAUUUGAAAAUAUUUUUUGAAACUAUUUUUUAAUUUUUUU